GCCUAGCCCUAAACUUCGAUAUUUAACGUACAAAAAUAUCCGCCAGAGAACUACGAGCAAAACGCUUAAAACUCUAAGGACUUGGCGGUACCUCAAACCCCCCUAGAGGAGCCUGUUCUACAAUCGAUAAUCCACGAUAUACCUCACCAUCCCUUGCCAAUCCCGCCUAUAUACCUCCGUCUCUAGCUUACCCUGUGAAGGGUAAAAAGUAGGCAGAAUAACUAAAAACAGCUAAUAAGUCAGGUCAAGGUGUAGCUAACUGAGAUGGAAGAUAUGGGCUACAUUUUCUAUGCUAGAAAUUAAUUUACGGAGGAAAACUAUGAAAUUAGUCCCACAAGUAGGAUUUAGCAGUAAACCGAGAUCAACAUGCCCGAUUUAAGCCGGUCCUGAGGUACGC
Molecule: ribosomal RNA, 397 nt
Filed under: Geoemyda spengleri
Lineage: Eukaryota; Metazoa; Chordata; Testudines; Geoemydidae
Description: partial 12S ribosomal RNA
Rfam family: Bacterial small subunit ribosomal RNA
Source: RNAcentral